Molecule: ribosomal RNA, 254 nt
Filed under: uncultured bacterium
Lineage: Bacteria
Description: partial 16S ribosomal RNA
Rfam family: Bacterial small subunit ribosomal RNA
Source: RNAcentral
UACGGGGGGGGCAAGCGUUGUUCGGAAUUACUGGGCGUAAAGGGCUCGUAGGCGGCCAACUAAGUCAGACGUGAAAUCCCUCGGCUUAACCGGGGAACUGCGUCUGAUACUGGAUGGCUUGAGGUUGGGAGAGGGAUGCGGAAUUCCAGGUGUAGCGGUGAAAUGCGUAGAUAUCUGGAGGAACACCGGUGGCGAAGGCGGCAUCCUGGACCAAUUCUGACGCUGAGUGAGCGAGAGCCAGGGGAGCAAACGGG